GAGAAAUUGAAGUUCCUCUUUGAAUUCGUAAGAAAUCGCGGUUGAAAUUAGGGUUAAAGAAGUUCUUAAAUCGCCGAUGUCCAUUAGAAAGUCAUUUUCCCCAGCAUCUAUUGACAGCCGAUUCAAGGAUAACAGGUUAAAAUGACGUCCUUGGAGAACCCUUCUACAGUGAAUUCUUUGGAUUUCAUCACAGAGUUUAUAGAGGAGGAAGGACCAAUAAAGACAAGUGGAAAGUGUAAGAUGAAAACGUGGACAGUGGAAACAACUCAUUUUACAUUCCAAUCCCAAGAAACCGAUUCUUCACCGCCUGUACAUCCAGGAUGACCUCAUUCAUGCUGAUCCGAUCUGAAGGAGAGACAUAACCGAUGGAGCCUUUUAUUGCAAUUGAACUUGCAUCUUGUUCAUUCAGCUGUUGGGAAUUUCUGGAGCUGUGACGAAGGAACUUAGCCAAGCCAAAAUCGCCCACAUGCGCA
Papaver somniferum (opium poppy) is the source of this 473-nucleotide long non-coding RNA. RefSeq lists it as uncharacterized. The record is from RefSeq and is a predicted model, not a curated record. Lineage: Eukaryota; Viridiplantae; Streptophyta; Magnoliopsida; Ranunculales; Papaveraceae. The transcript has 3 exons.